This 71-nucleotide transfer RNA is filed under the name Mixia osmundae IAM 14324. It matches the Rfam family "tRNA". From Rfam's summary of the family: Transfer RNA (tRNA) molecules are approximately 80 nucleotides in length. Their secondary structure includes four short double-helical elements and three loops (D, anti-codon, and T loops). Lineage: Eukaryota; Fungi; Basidiomycota; Mixiomycetes; Mixiales; Mixiaceae. The record is from Rfam by way of RNAcentral.
GCGCCAAUAGUUUAAUGGUAAAAUAAGAGCCUUCCAAGCUCUGGCUCUGGGUUCGAUUCCCAGUUGGCGCA